UACGGAGGGUGCAAGCGUUAUCCGGAAUCAUUGGGUUUAAAGGGUCCGCAGGCGGAUUUAUAAGUCAGUGGUGAAAGCCCGUCGCUUAACGACGGAACUGCCAUUGAUACUGUAAGUCUUGAAUUCGAUCGAAGUGGGCGGAAUAUGACAUGUAGCGGUGAAAUGCUUAGAUAUGUCAUAGAACACCGAUAGCGAAGGCAGCUCACUAGGUCUGGAUUGACGCUCAGGGACGAAAGCGUGGGGAGCGAACGGG
This 253-nucleotide ribosomal RNA is filed under the name uncultured bacterium. RNAcentral's name for it is "partial 16S ribosomal RNA". It matches the Rfam family "Bacterial small subunit ribosomal RNA", at positions 524 to 776 of the family's 1533-position model. The record is from RNAcentral.